Long non-coding RNA from Oncorhynchus tshawytscha (Chinook salmon), 508 nucleotides. The record is from Ensembl. NCBI's taxonomy places the organism in Eukaryota, Metazoa, Chordata, Actinopteri, Salmoniformes, Salmonidae.
GGAGGAGGUGAGACAGAUGGAGGGAUUGAAGCGUGAGGCGGACUGUGCCCAUUCCAAGAGCUCCAAUGGGAUGCCUUCAUCAGAGAGAGCAGAGACCAUCCUUGGAAGAGUGGGCUUUCUGGUCAUGAACCACAUGCAGAAAAUCCCAUUUUUGAAGAUGAAGGAAAAAGAGAAAAAUAAGAAACUGCAUAAGAAGUUGAAAGAUGACGAGAAAGAGAGAAAGGAGAAGAAAAACAAGGAGGAGGAGAACAAAAAGAGGGAGAAGAAAGAGAUGAAUGAGAGAGAGAAAGAGCAGAAGAAAGUCAUGAAGGCUGAGAAAAAGAGGGAGAAGUUAGAACAGAAAAAGAGAGAGAAGGAAAGAAAAGAGAAGGAAAAGGCAGAGAAAAAGAGGAGUUUUCAGCUGAUAAGAGUCUUCCUGCACCCGCAGCACUGCCUCUAAGGCUGCCCUGCACCCACAGCAUUGACCACAAACAGCUAUGGGAGAAAGUUGAGGACAACACAGAGUUCU